Molecule: ribosomal RNA, 192 nt
Filed under: Triticum aestivum (bread wheat)
Lineage: Eukaryota; Viridiplantae; Streptophyta; Magnoliopsida; Poales; Poaceae
Description: partial small subunit ribosomal RNA
Source: RNAcentral
AUGAGGUGGAGAAGGAGGCAGGGGGGGCAGGGGGGUCUCACUUCUGCUGGCGAGCUAGUGAACAAGGAUGGACUACGCGCACAGACGAGGUUGGACAGCGCCAUGGUCGCAGUUGGAUGGGGAAGGGGCCGCAUCUCCUUGAAAAAUUCGAUGGCGGCGCCCUACUGCUACGCAACACCGGCGCCCGCAUGA